Long non-coding RNA from Rana temporaria (common frog), 338 nucleotides. RefSeq lists it as uncharacterized. Lineage: Eukaryota; Metazoa; Chordata; Amphibia; Anura; Ranidae. The record is from RefSeq and is a predicted model, not a curated record. The transcript is spliced from 3 exons.
CUAUAGGCAGCACAGGGCUGGCUGUGUGUGUGCAGGGAAGGCAGCAGCAGCCUUUCCCCCCCUGUCUCCUCCACAUGGAUAUCUAUCCCGUAGGAUCCAGCAGCUGAAUGCACGCCGGGAGCCUGGCACAGCAUGUACCUUGUUAACACAUGUGAAAGCAAGACACCUGAUUGGAUCCUAGUGUCGCCUCUGCCUCACUAAGUCCUUACAUGGGAUUACAAGAGACUGGAAUCGCAUCACAUUCAGGUCUUACUAAUGCUGGAGGAGAUCAAGGACGGGGAAUAUUAAGAAGAGACCAGGGCAGCAGGGCUCGACCCUGAAGUCGGAUAUUUGGCAGG